GCUGAAGUAUGAAGCUAACCAACUCAAUCUGAUUAUCUGUACAUAUUCCUGGUAACAGGGCAUAAUGGUACCAUUAAUGGGCAGGGUCAAGCAUGGUGGAAGAAGUACAAGCAGAGGCUUCUUAACAAUACCAGAGGGCCGCUUGUCCAGAUAAUGUGGUCUAGUGACAUAGUGAUCUCUAAUAUAACAUUGCGUGAUUCUCCGUUUUGGACACUCCAUCCAUAUGACUGCAAAAAUGUAACAAUCAAGAAUGUCACAAUUCUGGCACCCAUCUUCAACGCUCCGAAUACUGAUGGCAUAGAUCCAGGUGAAUGCUCAAUAUGUCAUCAUUGCAGACAAUAGAAAAUCUUGAGCUAGAAAUCACUUUUUUUUAUCUGCAGGUUAGGAUCAGCCUGCAUUAUAUAUUGGUCAACUGUGAACAAUAACAUUUCAAGACUAAAUUUUAUUGAUUUCUUGUGAAUUUAUUAUUUAAUGAAAUCAAUAAUAAGUAAGCUAAAAUAUUCGAAGAUAAUUUGUUUAACCUGCUUAUAGAGGUGAUUUGUGCUCUUUUUUUGGUUUAUCAUAUCGUAGGGAAUAAGAAUUAAGCUCUGAGAUUUUAAUAUGCUAAAAUUCUUGCAAGCCUGCUGAACCAGAAUUCUUCCUAGGUUGAUAUUAUUCUCAUAGACUUUAAUGCACUAUACAUACUUCUUUAUUGUUUACUUAUUCCCCUCUUACUCUGUGCGAGUUCUUGAUGUUUUUAGUAUGUUGUGGACAGAUUCAUGUGAAGAUAUGUUGAUCGAGAACUGUUACAUCAGUGUUGGUGAUGAUGGCAUUGCAAUAAAGAGUGGUUGGGAUCAGUAUGGGAUUUCUUAUGGACGGCCUUCAACAAAUAUAGUCAUCCGAAAUCUUGUAGUUCGUUCAAUGGUCAGGUGAGGUUUUUAUGUGCACUUACAUUUGUUUUUAUGACCUGGAUAUUUCUGACAACAAAUGCACCUAUGGCAUUUCAACACAUUAGCUGUCUGAGGAAGGAAAUCAUUAGUUUUUUUUCUUGCUUCGGUAUAUUUGGGAAAAUAUUCAUUGCUG
Molecule: long non-coding RNA, 1062 nt
Filed under: Solanum tuberosum (potato)
Lineage: Eukaryota; Viridiplantae; Streptophyta; Magnoliopsida; Solanales; Solanaceae
Description: long non-coding RNA (STUB_LNC007480)
Source: RNAcentral